AGCGAACGCUGGCGGCAGGCUUAACACAUGCAAGUCGAACGGGCGUAGCAAUACGUCAGUGGCAGACGGGUGAGUAACACGUGGGAACGUACCUCUUGGUUCGGAACAACACAGGGAAACUUGUGCUAAUACCGGAUAAGCCCUUACGGGGAAAGAUUUAUCGCCGAGAGAUCGGCCCGCGUCUGAUUAGCUAGUUGGUAGGGUAAUGGCAUACCAAGGCGACGAUCAGUAGCUGGUCUGAGAGGAUGAUCAGCCACAUUGGGACUGAGACACGGCCCAAACUCCUACGGGAGGCAGCAGUGGGGAAUAUUGGACAAUGGGGGCAACCCUGAUCCAGCCAUGCCGCGUGAGUGAUGAAGGCCCUAGGGUUGUAAAGCUCUUUUGUGCGGGAAGAUAAUGACGGUACCGCAAGAAUAAGCCCCGGCUAACUUCGUGCCAGCAGCCGCGGUAA
Molecule: ribosomal RNA, 451 nt
Filed under: uncultured bacterium
Lineage: Bacteria
Description: partial 16S ribosomal RNA
Rfam family: Bacterial small subunit ribosomal RNA
Source: RNAcentral